Molecule: ribosomal RNA, 251 nt
Filed under: uncultured bacterium
Lineage: Bacteria
Description: partial 16S ribosomal RNA
Rfam family: Bacterial small subunit ribosomal RNA
Source: RNAcentral
GACGAACCGUACGAACGUUAUUCGGAAUCACUGGGCUUAAAGGGUGCGUAGGCGGCGCGGAAAGUUGGGUGUGAAAUCCCUCGGCUCAACCGGAGACUCGACGUCAAACUGCGUGCUCGAGGGAGACAGAGGUGAGCGGAACUUAGGGUGGAGCGGUGAAAUGCGUUGAUAUCCUAAGGAACACCGGUGGCGAAAGCGGCUCACUGGGUCUCUUCUGACGCUGAGGCACGAAAGCUAGGGUAGCGAACGGG